GGAGCAAGCUUGCUUUUCAAGACGAAACUUUUCUUGAGUUUGAGUUUUUAAGGGACAUGCGCGAAGCAAUGUCCAAGGGGAGAUCUUUUCCCAAGUUCGCUACGCUCAAAGAUGUGUAAUCAUCGAUCAAUAUCGAAUGGGAAAAACUUGGCAUUCUGCCUCUACCUCUGCGAUAGCAUUCACGGGUGUUUUCAUGCUAAUUAAUCUCAUGGAAAUGUGUUUCUCGAUAAUUCAUUUUCCUAUCGAAGCGUAGGCGUUGCGAUAAUUUGCACGAACUUUCCACGGCAUCUGUUGUCCCUCAUGCUUACAAGACAAUUAAGUCUGGCGGCUUCCUUCUAACGAAACUUUCCAAAGAAGCUGUGAUGCUGUUAGUUAUUUACCAAUGAAUCUAAACCUUGUGCACACGAUUUAGAGAAGUUCGCUUUAAUCUUUAUGGAAUUUUUGGAGAGUUGGGUCGGUGUGUUAUGUUUUUAACUGAACGUGGAAUUUCCAAAUGUGGAUUACGUACAAAAUUGUAUACCAAGCUGUGGAUAUAAUCUUACUUAGUUGGAUUGUACUGUUGUUUGAAUACGAAGAGGAGAGUGACUCGACAAAACCACAAGACUCAACUAUGUAGCACAAUUUCUUUCAUGGCAACGGUGAAUUAUUGCAGACUCAUGUGUAAAGUUGCAGACACAUUUUAUUCACAAGUCGCGGGAAGAACAGGCUGUCAAGAUUUGAUCUUUCGUCAUUUUCUUUUAUGGAUGUCUCUCCAGCGAUAAAACUGCCGUGGGACCUUCCAAUAUGACGGUGAGAAAUUGAAUCUUCCAGGGUCAGUCGGUUGUUGUUGAGCUUGGUGUAUUGAGCAUUGGACUUGCAAUCAACGAUUACUGUAUGUGACAUGGCAAGGAAGUCAGCAAUUCAGGAAACAGAGAGCAAAUCAAACGCCCUUUCACACCCCUUCCUAAUAUCAACCGUACACUCAAUCCUCAAACUACAACCCGAACUGACGACGACACCAGUACGAACCAAGGACCUCGUGCAUUGGAGAACAGACAGAGCAUGUUGAGCCAGAAGCUCAACAACGAAUACUAAUAGUUUUCUGGCAUAUUUGUACCCUUUUUUUUCAACUUUUUAGUAGAAAUAUACAAAGUAGACUUGAACCUAAGAAGGUGCAAUUGCAUUAGCCAUGACUUUACCUUAGAUAUUUACGUAUUAGUGAACUCUAAAAAGACAAAGAGAACAAAGCAGUCUUGAACCAGAACAGCAGUGAUCUCAAACCGUCAACUUACACACUCAAACAAGCGAGAGAGAUGUGGAGCAUGUGGAAACAUAUCAAGUGCUACAACAGAACAACAUUUGUUGCCUUUCAAUACAUAAGACUUUAAGUUAUAAGAUGUUUGGCAAAUGCUUUUACCUCAUCAUUAAAUAAAUAGAACUAUAUAAAGAAAAUUGUCUUGCUACAAGUCAAGCGAUAGCAAUCGAAGCAAUAUAAAUAUAAUGAUAAAGAAAGAAGAAGAAUAAAGUAUACAUGUCAUGCAUUGCCAUGUGGUGAAUCCCGUG
Long non-coding RNA from Xenia sp. Carnegie-2017, 1542 nucleotides. RefSeq lists it as uncharacterized. Lineage: Eukaryota; Metazoa; Cnidaria; Anthozoa; Malacalcyonacea; Xeniidae. The record is from RefSeq and is a predicted model, not a curated record. The transcript is spliced from 4 exons.